RNAcentral lists this ribosomal RNA (503 nucleotides) under uncultured bacterium. RNAcentral's name for it is "partial 16S ribosomal RNA". It matches the Rfam family "Bacterial small subunit ribosomal RNA", at positions 28 to 523 of the family's 1533-position model. The record is from RNAcentral.
GAUGAACGCUAGCGGCAGGCCUAACACAUGCAAGUCGAGGGGUAGCAGGAUUAAGCUUGCUUAAUUGCUGACGACCGGCGCACGGGUGCGUAACGCGUAUGCAACCUACCUUAUACUGGGGUAUAGCCCGGAGAAAUUCGGAUUAAUCCCCCAUAGUACUAAUGAAUCGCAUGGUUUAUUAGUUAAAGCAUUGCGGUAUAAGAUGGGCAUGCGUCCUAUUAGCUAGAUGGUGAGGUAACGGCUCACCAUGGCUACGAUAGGUAGGGGGCCUGGGAGGGUGGUCCCCCACACUGGUACUGAGACACGGACCAGGCUCCUACGGGAGGCAGCAGUGAGGAAUAUUGGUCAAUGGGCGCAAGCCUGAACCAGCCAUGCCGCGUGCAGGAAGAAUGCCCUAUGGGUUGUAAACUGCUUUUAUUUGGGAAUAAACCUCUUUACGUGUAGAGAGCUGAAGGUACCAAAUGAAUAAGCACCGGCUAACUCCGUGCCAGCAGCCGCCGCAG